Long non-coding RNA from Molossus molossus (Pallas's mastiff bat), 1199 nucleotides. RefSeq lists it as uncharacterized. The transcript has 4 exons. The record is from RefSeq and is a predicted model, not a curated record. NCBI's taxonomy places the organism in Eukaryota, Metazoa, Chordata, Mammalia, Chiroptera, Molossidae.
UACAUGCAGGUGUGUGUGUGCAUGCACACACACACAAACACAUCAUGAUGUACUUUUAGAAAAAUCCAUUGCCCUCUCAAAAGACAAACCAACCAACAACCUAUGUUGCUCUGUCCUUGAGAAUCUGAAAUGUACUACAAAAACAUAUUCCUAGUCGUCUGUUCUUUCUGGGGUUAAAAUUCAAAUUCAGAAUCUCAUUUGAGAAAUGCCCAGGCUUGCAAAAUCACAACUGAACUUGGGAAGGGCACAUGCCUAACCACCUGCAAUGCUGGGAAGAAUUAAGAUUUUGCCUUGACCCCACCACCUUUUCCCCAGACAUAAACUCAGUAAAGGAGAAAGAUGCCCUCUGGGCAGACAGCUGAAAAAAGUUAUAGCCACCAACCCUAGUCUCCGAGGGGCACUUCUAUGCCCUGCCAAUCUCCUGCUUCUUCAGACCUGUCCUAUGUUAUUCUCCGUUAAGAGAGAGGACCUGUGGAUGGAUGAGCCUUGACAUCACCAUGAGCACCUCCUCUUUCUGUGCUGAAUCUCCCAUUGGGCUAGAGAGCAGUGUGUUAGCAAGGAGGAUUGCGCCUUGAAGGUGUUUUACAGCAUGAUUUGCGACCUCUUCCAUGCCUAACAUCCUACAUUGCUAAAUAUUCUUUUGUGUUUAUUACUGAAUAUUUCAGCACAAAGCUAUCAAGUUGGGGAAAUAUGGAUUAAAAAUAGAAAUAAACACUAAAGAGAGCUCUAGAAAAAGGAGAACAGAAAUGGCUUUGCCUAUUUGCUAUCGUAUGUGAGCUGCCCUCUGGAGAGGCCUGAACGGGGCAUCGUCAAGCCAACAGUCCGGGCACCAUCGUGCAGGGAGCUGAAUUUUGCCAACAGUAAUGUGCAUGAGCUGGGAGCGGAUUCUGUCCCAGUUGAACCCUGAGAUGAGUGUGGCCUUGGAUAACACAGUAACUGCAGCCUGUGAGAGACCCUGAGUCACAGGAACCAGCAAAACAGUACCAGAAACCUGACCCAGGGAAAUGAUUGCAGCAGUGAAGGAAGUUGUAAUCUUUUUGAUGGAGGAGGAUCUUGUCUUCAAUUUGUAAAUAACCCAACACCUGGGAAGCAUAAUGAAGUGACGCUCAAUAAAACAAGGCAUGCCUGUUUCAUCUUGGUUACUUGCUAUGGAAAGAAGAAAGGACAGAGAGAUAAAACCAUUGAUGAUGAGGGAAACA